RNAcentral lists this ribosomal RNA (443 nucleotides) under uncultured bacterium. RNAcentral's name for it is "partial 16S ribosomal RNA". It matches the Rfam family "Bacterial small subunit ribosomal RNA", at positions 338 to 795 of the family's 1533-position model. The record is from RNAcentral.
CCUACGGGUGGCAGCAGUGGGGAAUAUUGGGCAAUGGGCGCAAGCCUGACCCAGCAACGCCGCGUGAAGGAAGAAGGCCCUCGGGUUGUAAACUUCUUUUAUCAAGGACGAAACAAAUGACGGUACUUGAUGAAUAAGCCACGGCUAACUACGUGCCAGCAGCCGUGGUAAUACGUAGGUGGCAAGCGUUAUCCGGAUUUACUGGGUGUAAAGGGAGUGUAGGCGGGACGGUAAGUGAGAUGUGAAAACCAUGGGCUCAACCCAUGGCCUGCAUUGGGAACUGGAGUGCUUGAGUGUUGGGGAGGCAGGCGGAAUUCGGUGUGUAGCGGUGAAAUGCGUAGAUAUACGGAGGAACACCAGUGGCGAAGGUGGCAUGCUGGAGAAUAACUGACGCUGAGGCGCGAAGGCGUGGGGAGCAAACAGGAUUAGAUACCCUUGUAGUC